This 319-nucleotide unclassified non-coding RNA is filed under the name Comamonas thiooxydans. Its description in RNAcentral is "Long range pseudoknot". The record is from RNAcentral. Lineage: Bacteria; Pseudomonadati; Pseudomonadota; Betaproteobacteria; Burkholderiales; Comamonadaceae.
ACGGAUGAUGGUGACUACAACAUCAAGCUGCGCAAUAUCCGCCGUUUUCUGGCGGAUGGCGACAAGUGCAAGAUCACGCUGCGUUUCCGCGGUCGUGAAAUCACGCACCAGCAGCUGGGUCUGAAUCUGCUCAACCGUCUGCGUGACGAUCUGGCCGAUUCCAUCCAGGUGGAGCAGUUCCCCAAGCUGGAAGGCCGUCAGAUGAUCAUGAUGGUUGCGCCGGCUCGUGCAGGCGGCAAGAAGCCUGCUGGUGGUGCAAAACCACAAGGUGAUGGCGUCGCUGCUGCACCUGAGGCUGCAGAUAAGGCAUAAUUGCGGU